CCUACGGGGUGCAGCAGUGGGGAAUAUUGGGCAAUGGGCGCAACCCUGACCCAGCAACGCCGCGUGAAGGAAGAAGGCUUUCGGGUUGUAAACUUCUUUUGUCAGGGACGAAACAAGUGACGGUACCUGACUAAUAAGCCACGGCUAACUACGUGCCAGCAGCCGCGGUAAUACGUAGGUGGCAAGCGUUAUCCGGAUUUAUUGGGUGUAAAGGGAGUGUAGGCGGGAAUGCAAGUGAGAUGUGAAAACCAUAGGCUUAACCUGUAGACUGCAUUUGAAACUGUAUAGCUUGAGUACUGGAGAGGAAAGCGGAAUUCCGUGUGUAGCGGUGAAAUGCGUAGAUAUACGGAGGAACACCAGUGGCGAAGGCGGAUUGCUGGACUGAAACUGACGCUGAGGCGCGAAAGCGUGGGGAGCGAACAGGAUUAGAUACCCGUGUAGUC
Molecule: ribosomal RNA, 443 nt
Filed under: uncultured bacterium
Lineage: Bacteria
Description: partial 16S ribosomal RNA
Rfam family: Bacterial small subunit ribosomal RNA
Source: RNAcentral